Molecule: ribosomal RNA, 537 nt
Filed under: uncultured bacterium
Lineage: Bacteria
Description: bacterial SSU rRNA
Rfam family: Bacterial small subunit ribosomal RNA
Source: RNAcentral
AAUAGAUACCCGGGUAGUCCACGCCGUAAACGAUGAGUGCUAGGUGUUGGGGGGACCCCCUCAGUGCCGCAGGUAACCCAAUAAGCACUCCGCCUGGGGAGUACGGUCGCAAGACUGAAACUCAAAGGAAUUGACGGGGGCCCGCACAAGCGGUGGAGCAUGUGGUUUAAUUCGAAGCAACGCGAAGAACCUUACCAGGGCUUGACAUCCCGCUGACCGGUGUAGAGAUACGCCUUUCCCCUUCGGGGGACAGCGGUGACAGGUGGUGCAUGGUUGUCGUCAGCUCGUGUCGUGAGAUGUUGGGUUCAGUCCCGCAACGAGCGCAACCCUUGUUUCUAGUUGCCAGCACUUCGGGUGGGCACUCUAGAGAGACAGCCGGUGAAAGCCGGAGGAAGGUGGGGAUGACGUCAAAUCAUCAUGCCCCUUAUGUCCUGGGCUACACACGUGCUACAAUGGCUGGUACAAAGGGCAGCGAACCCGCGAGGGGGAGCCAAUCCCAAAAAACCAGUCUCAGUUCGGAUUGCAGGCUGCAACUCG